RNAcentral lists this ribosomal RNA (495 nucleotides) under uncultured bacterium. RNAcentral describes it as "partial 16S ribosomal RNA". It matches the Rfam family "Bacterial small subunit ribosomal RNA", at positions 28 to 507 of the family's 1533-position model. The record is from RNAcentral.
GACGAACGCUGGCGGCGUGCCUAAUACAUGCAAGUAGAACGCUGAAGGAGGAGCUUGCUUCUCUGGAUGAGUUGCGAACGGGUGAGUAACGCGUAGGUAACCUGCCUGGUAGGGGGGGAUGACUAUUGGAAACGAUAGCUAAUACCGCAUAAGAGUAGAAGUUGCAUGACAUUUGCUUAAAAGGUGCAUUUGCAUCACUACCAGAUGGGACUGCGUUGUAUUUGCUAGUUGGUGGGGUAACGGCUCACCAAGGCGACGAUACUGAGCCGACCUGAGAGGGUGGUCGGCCAAACUGGGACUGAGACACGGCCCAGACUCCUACGGGAGGCAGCCGUAGGGGAACUUCGGAAAUGGACGGAAGGCUGAACGAGCAACGCCGGGGUGGGGAAGAAGGGUCUCGGAUCGGAAAGCUCUGUUGUGUGGGAAGAAAGGGUAUGAGGGUGGAAAGUUCACACUGUGACGGUAUCUAAACAGAAAGGGACGGCUAACUACGUG